This 253-nucleotide ribosomal RNA is filed under the name uncultured bacterium. Its description in RNAcentral is "partial 16S ribosomal RNA". It matches the Rfam family "Bacterial small subunit ribosomal RNA", at positions 524 to 776 of the family's 1533-position model. The record is from RNAcentral.
UACGUAGGUGGCGAGCGUUGUCCGGAAUCAUUGGGCGUAAAGAGCGCGUAGGUGGCUUGUCAGGUCUGAUGUGAAAUCCUGGGGCUCAACUCCAGAACUGCAUCGGAAACCGGCUUGCUAGAGUCUGGGAGAGGAGAGUGGAAUUCCUGGUGUAGCGGUGAAAUGCGUAGAUAUCAGGAGGAACACCGGUAGCGAAGGCGGCUCUCUGGAACAGUACUGACACUGAGGCGCGAAAGCUAGGGGAGCGAACAGG